AUACUAACGCAAACGCUGCAUACUUGUUAUGUAGAGGAAAGUCCAUGCUCACACUAUUCCUAUAUGGAUAGUAAUGUUCGUGCAUAGGGAAAAAAUAACCUGUGAUAGUCUAAUAGACUAAUAGCUUCGAAAUAAUCUAAGUCGUAAGAUAUGAUUAAAUUAGAAAUAAAGUGCCAUAGUGACGAUAUUGUUUAGAAAUAGACAAGGUGGAACGCGGUAAACCUCACGAGUGAGAAACCCAAAUUUUGGUAGGGGAGUCUUCAUAGGGUAACUGAUUGAAGAAUGCAUUAGCAUAGAUAAAUGUUUGCACUCUUAAGAGUACAGAACAUGGCUUAUUUAG
This 340-nucleotide RNase P RNA is filed under the name Bacilli bacterium. RNAcentral describes it as "RNase P RNA component class B". It matches the Rfam family "Bacterial RNase P class B". From Rfam's summary of the family: Ribonuclease P (RNase P) is a ubiquitous endoribonuclease, found in archaea, bacteria and eukarya as well as chloroplasts and mitochondria. Its best characterised activity is the generation of mature 5'-ends of tRNAs by cleaving the 5'-leader elements of precursor-tRNAs. Cellular RNase Ps are ribonucleoproteins. RNAcentral also lists the same sequence under 1 other name. Lineage: Bacteria; Bacillati; Bacillota; Bacilli. The record is from RNAcentral.